UACGGAAGGGGCAAGCGUUGUUCGGAAUCAUUGGGCGUAAAGGGCGCGUAGGUGGUUCUGUAUGUCUACCGUGAAAGCGUACGGCUCAACCGUAUUUUGUCGGUGGAAACUGCAGGACUUGAGGCUGGGAGGGGCUGGUGGAAUUCCCUGUGUAGCGGUGAAAUGCGUAGAGAUGUGGAGGAACACCGAUGGCGAAGGCAGCCCCCUGGGUCAAAACUGACGCUCAUGCACGAAAGCGUGGGGAGCAAACAGG
Molecule: ribosomal RNA, 253 nt
Filed under: uncultured bacterium
Lineage: Bacteria
Description: partial 16S ribosomal RNA
Rfam family: Bacterial small subunit ribosomal RNA
Source: RNAcentral